CACCCAGGCAGCAAUUUGAAAUCAUAUUCACAAGAAGGACCAACAGAUGAAAAGCUGCUGUAGAUAACAGGGCCCAUAGAUGAAGUAGACCAAAGGUCGCAUGUGCACAGUGCUGGUUGUAAGUUCAGUCUUCUCUCUCUUUCAUACUUAACAGUUUUAAAGAACAUGAGGGAACUGCAAGAAAGAUCUGGCUCCCAUCUGAGCGGGAGAGCAAGUCAUCCCCUGAGACUUCUAGUGACAAAGCUCCAUUCCCAUAUUUUCAGAAGAAGGCACUAAAUAAACUUUCUGAUUCAGUAGCCAGAACACCUGGUGCCAUCUGGAGUCUACUCAAAUCAUGGAAAAACAGAAUGGUACUGUAUACCCAAUGGGAACAACAGAUUACCAGGCUCCCUGUGUCUGAAGAAUCAUCUUCUGCCUGAAAGUAUCUUCCCACCUCCUCAAUUUCUCCUCAGGUUCUUUCCUCCUGCUGGAAG
RNAcentral lists this long non-coding RNA (473 nucleotides) under Vulpes vulpes (red fox). RNAcentral's name for it is "lncRNA (ENSVVUG00000015531.1)". The record is from RNAcentral. Lineage: Eukaryota; Metazoa; Chordata; Mammalia; Carnivora; Canidae.